Long non-coding RNA from Lactuca sativa (garden lettuce), 758 nucleotides. RefSeq lists it as uncharacterized. The record is from RefSeq and is a predicted model, not a curated record. Lineage: Eukaryota; Viridiplantae; Streptophyta; Magnoliopsida; Asterales; Asteraceae.
UCUGAUUUCUUAAUAGAGAAGAAGGAUAACUGCAAGGAGAUCAAACUCCCUUCAAAAGCUUAUAAAGUAACAAUGGGUGGCUGCGUUGUGGUUUGAUUUUGGUAUUAAAUGGCAGAAAAUUUGGGAUAAGAUUCAUCGAUGAAGCUCCGAUGAACAACAGGAAAUCUUAGUAAUGUUACACAUGGACUAUUAAAGAAGAUUUGCCGAUAGAGGUUGACUAUUGACUCAAGUGUUGCAGGGCCUAGGAAAUUCCUUCAAGGACAACAGAAAGAAGCUUAAGACGUGAACGUGUUAUCGUGGUGGAAGACGUGAAGAAAACGAAACGAAGACACUGAGAAAUAUAGAAAAGGGACGAUUGAGAUAAAUCUAAUGAUAGGUCAAAAUGUUUUUUUGAUGUAAAAAGGAACGAUUAUAAGAUGGGUUACAAUGAUGUCAGGUGGCAUAAUGAAGAUUAGAAUGAUGACAAGUGGAAAAAUGGACAUUAAAAAAUGGACAUGUGGCAUAAUUUGGUUUUAUUUAUUAGAAGAGGUAGAUGCAGGACAAAUUCCAAAUUUAACGAAAGAAUUUACAAAAGAUGUGGGAUAAGUUGUUGUUGAACACAAUAAAAGAAUACUUAUCGUAUGUGAGUUUGGAACCUGGGUGGGGUAGUUGAAGCUUCAAGCACCUCAACCAGCGGACUAGUCUACCAUUUUGUUUUUAAGUCACAAAUACAUAAAUAUAUACAUGUAAUUGCAAAAUAUAAACACACACACGCACAU